GAUGAACGCUAGCGGCAGGCUUAACACAUGCAAGUCGAGGGGCAGCGGGAUGUAGCAAUACAUUGCCGGCGACCGGCGCAAGGGUGCGUAACGCGUGAGCAACAUGCCCGUCACAGGAGGAUAAACCAUGGAAACGUGGCCUAAUACUCCAUAGUAUGUUUUGGAGGCAUCUCUGAGACAUUAAAGCUUCGGUGGUGACGGAUUGGCUCGCGUGACAUUAGCUAGAUGGAGAGGUAACGGCUCACCAUGGCGACGAUGUCUAGGGGAACUGAGAGGUUAAUCCCCCACACUGGUACUGAGACACGGACCAGACUCCUACGGGAGGCAGCAGUGAGGAAUAUUGGUCAAUGGACGCAAGUCUGAACCAG
RNAcentral lists this ribosomal RNA (368 nucleotides) under uncultured bacterium. RNAcentral's name for it is "bacterial SSU rRNA". It matches the Rfam family "Bacterial small subunit ribosomal RNA", at positions 28 to 391 of the family's 1533-position model. The record is from RNAcentral.